AGGAGGAUCGCUUGAGUCCAGGAGUUCUGG
RNAcentral lists this non-coding RNA (30 nucleotides) under Cricetulus griseus (Chinese hamster). Lineage: Eukaryota; Metazoa; Chordata; Mammalia; Rodentia; Cricetidae. RNAcentral also lists the same sequence under 1 other name. The record is from RNAcentral.